RNAcentral lists this ribosomal RNA (1346 nucleotides) under Praia tianmunica. Its description in RNAcentral is "16S ribosomal RNA". The stretch from base 1097 to 1254 matches the Rfam family "Archaeal large subunit ribosomal RNA", at positions 2544 to 2703 of the family's 2987-position model. The record is from RNAcentral. Lineage: Eukaryota; Metazoa; Arthropoda; Insecta; Hymenoptera; Cimbicidae.
UUUAAUAAUAAAAUUAUUAAAUUUAUUUAGUUUAUUUUAUAUUUUUUAAUUUAAUUAAAAUUAUUUAUAUUAUUUUUAAGUAUAUUUUAUAGAAAAAAUUUUUAGAAUUAUAGUUUAAUAUUAUUGUAAAAGAAUUUUGAAAUAUUAUGAAAUUUAUUUAAUUAAAAGUAAUAUUUAAUUUAUGUACCUUGUGUAUCAGGGUUUAUUAAAAUUAUUUCAAUUAAAUUGAAUUUUUCUAAUUUAAAAGAUCUAAAUAUUUAUGAAAUUUUUAUUGUAUCAUUAAUAUUUUAAAUUAAUAUUUAGUAAUGAAAUGUUAUUCGUUUUUAAAGUUAUUUAAUUUUUUAAUAAAUAAAUUUAAUUUAUAUAUUAAUUUUUAAGUUAAUAAUUUUUUAUUAUUAUUUAAUUUUAAUAUUUAUAUUUUAGGGGAUAAGCUUUAAAAUAAAUUAUUAUAAUAUUUAUUUUUAUAUUAUUAUAUUAAUAUAUUAUAGUCUUAAGAAUAGAUUUUAUAUAAAAAUGUUUUAAUUUAUUAUUGGUUUUAUAAAAUUUAAUUUUAAUUUAAUUUUUUAUUAAAAUUUUUAAUUAAAUAAUUAUAUUUAAUUAAAAAUGAUAAAAUUAGUAAAUUAUUUAUUUAUUUAAUUAAAAAUUAUUUGUUAGGUUAUUUUAAGGAAUUCGGCAAAAAUUUAUAUUUGCUUGUUUAACAAAAACAUCGUUUUUUGAAUAUAAUUUAAAAUUUGAUCUGCUCAAUGAAUUUAUAAUUUAAAUAGCCGCAGUAUUUUGACUGUGCAAAGGUAGCAUAAUAAUUAGUCUUUUAAUUGAAGGCUGGAAUGAAAGAUUUGACAAGAUAUAAACUGUCUUAAUUUAAAUUUUAAUUGAAUUUAAUUUUUAAGUUAAAAAGCUUAAAUUUAUUUAAAGGACGAGAAGACCCUAUAGAGUUUUAUAAUUUAUUAAAUUUGAUAAUUUAAAUUUUAUUUUAAAUUUUGAUAAAUUAUUUUGUUGGGGUGAUAGGAAAAUUUAAUAAACUUUUUUAUAAAUUUUACAUUUAUUUAUGAAUUUUUGAUCCUGAUUAUUUUGGAUUAUUAGAUUAAAUUACCUUAGGGAUAACAGCGUAAUUUUUUUUAGAGUUCUUAUCGAUUUAAAAGAUUGCGACCUCGAUGUUGGAUUAAAAUUUAAUUUAGGUGAAGAAGCUUAAAAUUUAGGUCUGUUCGACCUUUAAAAUUUUACAUGAUCUGAGUUCAAACCGGUGUAAGCCAGGUUGGAUUCUAUCCUUAAAAUUUUGUAAGUUUUUAGUACGAAAGGAAUUAAAUUUAAAUUUGUAAUUUAUAUAAUUGAUUAAAAUUAAUAAUUUU